AGGAGCUGAUAAGACGCACGGAAACACCGUGUCAGGGGCUGUGCAGCCACGCUAAUGCUACAUUUAGAUGCAAGAAUUUGACAGCUUCAUUACUGUGAUUGUCCCUGAGCACUUAUGUAAGGAAAGAGGCUGUUCUCCCCACCAGCUCCCAGGCCCACAGCAUCUAUGCCUGAGCUCCUCAGCAUUUGGAGAGGAGGUGGCCACUGGUUGUACUGACCCCAGACCACUGUCAUAGGGUAAACAUUCCAGGCACCUCAUUUCCUCCUCACAACCACUCUGCCAGGCAGAUAUUGUUAUCACCAUUUAACAAGGAAAAGGAUGAGAUUCAGAGAGGCACAGUAACCACGCUUUCAGCUGCGAGGUACAGAACACUCAGCCACAAGUGGCUGAGACGGAAGCUUCCUGACACUAACAGGGAAAAGAAACAGUGGCCAGAGACUGUCUCCUGAAAAAUGUGCAGGAAGGGUAAUUCGGAGGCCAAGACAAAUGUGUGGGAUGAGCUCCAGCCGGGCCUCAAAACAGAAGCUGAUGACACUCACAGGCUUCUGGGGCUCCUAGGAGGCCUUGUCACAUUCCACAUUUUUUCUGCAAGAGCUCAAAAGUUGCCUUCUCUGGAAGCUUCCGUGACUUCAGCAGAUGUUUUCCCCUUUCUUGGUUCACUCUGUCAUUUUGGUGGAGCACAUCUUCAGUAGCCUCUUGGAUGCAUGGGAGCAUGGAGCCUGCCAGCCUGCUUCUACCUGGAUCCUAUUUGCCACCUUGGAACAGAAGCUGUCUUGUCAAUGUGUGCAAUGAUUACAUUGGGGGAAGAUGGAGAAGCACAGAACAUUUAUCAACAUAUACCAUAUGUUGGGCUAUAAAACAAGUCUUUUUUUUUGAGGAAGAUUAGCCCUGAGCUAACAUCUGCCACCAAUCCUCCUCUUUUUGCUGAGGAAGA
Molecule: long non-coding RNA, 934 nt
Organism: Equus caballus (horse)
Lineage: Eukaryota; Metazoa; Chordata; Mammalia; Perissodactyla; Equidae
Source: RefSeq, a predicted model, not a curated record